CAAAGGUAGCGAAAUCAUUUGUCUACUAAAUAUAGACCAGUAUGAAAGGCCACAUGAGGGUUUAACUGUCUCCUGAGACUAAUUUAUAAAACUGAUCUUCUAGUUCAAAAGCUGGAAUUCUAAUAUAAGACGAGAAGACCCUGUGAAGCUUAAAAAACCCAUUAAAACAGCUAAUGGGUACUUUUAGUUGGGGCAACUUUGGAAAAAAGACCAACUUCCAAAGACUAACAAGUCAAUAACGACCCAGUAUAACUGAAAAAUGGACCAAGUUACUCCAGGGAUAACAGCGCAAUCUUCUUCAAGAGCUCCUAUCUAAAAGAAGGUUUACGACCUCGAUGUUGGAUCAGGACACCCAGACGGUGCAGUAGCUGUUAAAGGUUCGUUUGUUCAACGAUUAAAGU
RNAcentral lists this ribosomal RNA (401 nucleotides) under Anilios silvia (Sylvia's blind snake). RNAcentral describes it as "partial 16S ribosomal RNA". It matches the Rfam family "Bacterial large subunit ribosomal RNA", at positions 1951 to 2594 of the family's 2925-position model. Lineage: Eukaryota; Metazoa; Chordata; Lepidosauria; Squamata; Typhlopidae. The record is from RNAcentral.